AAUGAACGCUGGCGGCAUGCCUUACACAUGCAAGUCGAACGGCAGCAUGACCUAGCUUGCUAGGUUGAUGGCGAGUGGCGAACGGGUGAGUAAUGCAUCGGAACGUGCCUUUUAGUGGGGGAUAACGUAGCGAAAGUUACGCUAAUACCGCAUAUUCUCUGAGGAGGAAAGCAGGGGACCUUCGGCCUUGCGCUAGAAGAGCGGCCGAUGUCGGAUUAGCUAGUUGGUGAGGUAAAGGCUCACCAAGGCAACGAUCCGUAGCGGGUCUGAGAGGAUGAUCCGCCACACUGGGACUGAGACACGGCCCAGACUCCUACGGGAGGCAGCAGUGGGGAAUUUUGGACAAUGGGCGCAAGCCUGAUCCAGCCAUGCCGCGUGAGUGAAGAAGGCCUUCGGGUUGUAAAGCUCUUUCGGCUGGGAAGAAAUCGCACCCUCUAAUACAGGGUGUGGAUGACGGUACCAGCAUAAGAAGCACCGGCUAACUACGUG
This 489-nucleotide ribosomal RNA is filed under the name uncultured bacterium. Its description in RNAcentral is "partial 16S ribosomal RNA". It matches the Rfam family "Bacterial small subunit ribosomal RNA", at positions 29 to 507 of the family's 1533-position model. The record is from RNAcentral.